This 1485-nucleotide ribosomal RNA is filed under the name Salmonella enterica subsp. enterica serovar Newport. Its description in RNAcentral is "partial 23S ribosomal RNA". It matches the Rfam family "Bacterial large subunit ribosomal RNA", at positions 711 to 2179 of the family's 2925-position model. Lineage: Bacteria; Pseudomonadati; Pseudomonadota; Gammaproteobacteria; Enterobacterales; Enterobacteriaceae. The record is from RNAcentral.
AGACCCGAAACCCGGUGAUCUAGCCAUGGGCAGGUUGAAGGUUGGGUAACACUAACUGGAGGACCGAACCGACUAAUGUUGAAAAAUUAGCGGAUGACCUGUGGCUGGGGGUGAAAGGCCAAUCAAACCGGGAGAUAGCUGGUUCUCCCCGAAAGCUAUUUAGGUAGCGCCUCGUGAAUUCAUCUCCGGGGGUAGAGCACUGUUUCGGCUAGGGGGCCAUCCCGGCUUACCAACCCGAUGCAAACUGCGAAUACCGGAGAAUGUUAUCACGGGAGACACACGGCGGGUGCUAACGUCCGUCGUGAAGAGGGAAACAACCCAGACCGCCAGCUAAGGUCCCAAAGUCAUGGUUAAGUGGGAAACGAUGUGGGAAGGCCCAGACAGCCAGGAUGUUGGCUUAGAAGCAGCCAUCAUUUAAAGAAAGCGUAAUAGCUCACUGGUCGAGUCGGCCUGCGCGGAAGAUGUAACGGGGCUAAACCAUGCACCGAAGCUGCGGCAGCGACACUGUGUGUUGUUGGGUAGGGGAGCGUUCUGUAAGCCUGUGAAGGUGUGUCGUGAGGCAUGCUGGAGGUAUCAGAAGUGCGAAUGCUGACAUAAGUAACGAUAAAGCGGGUGAAAAGCCCGCUCGCCGGAAGACCAAGGGUUCCUGUCCAACGUUAAUCGGGGCAGGGUGAGUCGACCCCUAAGGCGAGGCCGAAAGGCGUAGUCGAUGGGAAACGGGUUAAUAUUCCCGUACUUGGUGUUACUGCGAAGGGGGGACGGAGAAGGCUAUGUUGGCCGGGCGACGGUUGUCCCGGUUUAAGCGUGUAGGCUGGUUUUCCAGGCAAAUCCGGAAAAUCAAGGCUGAGGCGUGACGACGAGGCACUACGGUGCUGAAGCAACAAAUGCCCUGCUUCCAGGAAAAGCCUCUAAGCAUCAGGUAACACGAAAUCGUACCCCAAACCGACACAGGUGGUCAGGUAGAGAAUACCAAGGCGCUUGAGAGAACUCGGGUGAAGGAACUAGGCAAAAUGGUGCCGUAACUUCGGGAGAAGGCACGCUGAUAUGUAGGUGAAGCGGUUUACCCGUGGAGCUGAAAUCAGUCGAAGAUACCAGCUGGCUGCAACUGUUUAUUAAAAACACAGCACUGUGCAAACACGAAAGUGGACGUAUACGGUGUGACGCCUGCCCGGUGCCGGAAGGUUAAUUGAUGGGGUCAGCGCAAGCGAAGCUCCUGAUCGAAGCCCCGGUAAACGGCGGCCGUAACUAUAACGGUCCUAAGGUAGCGAAAUUCCUUGUCGGGUAAGUUCCGACCUGCACGAAUGGCGUAAUGAUGGCCAGGCUGUCUCCACCCGAGACUCAGUGAAAUUGAACUCGCUGUGAAGAUGCAGUGUACCCGCGGCAAGACGGAAAGACCCCGUGAACCUUUACUAUAGCUUGACACUGAACAUUGAGCCUUGAUGUGUAGGAUAGGUGGGAGGCUUUGAAGUGUGGACGCCAGUCUGC